GCCAUUUUUAUCCGAGUAACAAUUGUGUACAUUUCGACCGCUCCCAUAAGCGUUUUCAUAAUUUACAAGUAUCGACUGAUUGUGACUCAAUGCUGUUGCUAGAAAAUCGAGCAAUCAGUUAUCAAUAACGUUCCUCUACUCAGCCUCGACAUAAGAGAAUGGAGCGUUCGUCAGGAGUACCAGAAGUGUGGGUAGUCAUCAUGAGCCUGAUGAUUGGAACAAUGAUGUAUGCUUUGAUGGUGGCCAGAAUAACUGCCAUAGUGACCAGCGUCAGCAAACGCAUAAUAUAAGGAGGUGAUCAGCUACAACUGUGCCAACCUCAUUUCCAACAUGCCGUGCUUAAAGACGCAGACCCCUUCAUCUCUGAGCUGCUGGAGGUGCUGCAGUUUGAGAUUUACCAAACAGGGGGCCUGAUCAUCCACAGGGGGUUUCUGGGAGACUGCAUGUAUUUCAUCGACAGGGGUACCUUUGAGGUAGAGACCUUCAAAUUCACCAAUAGACUGUCUGAUGGAGACUUCUUUGGAGGUAGUUUCGACACAGCAUCACGGACGGCACCACUAUCAAACUUUAAUCGGUGUUGGUGGGGUAUAAGUAGUGCCUCACUAUUUGACUUUGUGGACCAAGUGUCUAAAAUGGUGGUAGCUCAUCCAAAACAAGUAAGGUUGUACAUCUGAUUGGUUUUGUAAUGCACAUGGAUCAUUAGUAUUCUAGAUCAGAACUACUAGACUGAUCUUUUUAUAUGAAACAAGAUAAUGGGGCCUGUAGAUGAGAUAGAGCUGAUGAGCUGUUGCAUAUAGUGCGGCUCAUGUAUGGCACUCUGUUUUAAUAGGGAAAUUAUAGUGAAAGAAGAUUUCCAGUUGAUUGUGUGUGAAUAAAAUAAAAAAUGUGUGCUCAUUAAAUAAUAAGCCG
Long non-coding RNA from Oncorhynchus kisutch (coho salmon), 909 nucleotides. RefSeq lists it as uncharacterized. The record is from RefSeq and is a predicted model, not a curated record. The transcript is spliced from 3 exons. Lineage: Eukaryota; Metazoa; Chordata; Actinopteri; Salmoniformes; Salmonidae.